ACGCUGGCGGCAUGCCUAACACAUGCAAGUCGAACGAAGUGCCUUCGGGUACUUAGUGGCGCACGGGUGCGUAACGCGUGGGAAUCUACCCCUUGGUUCGGAAUAACAGUUGGAAACGACUGCUAAUACCGGAUGACGACGUAAGUCCAAAGAUUUAUCGCCGAGGGAUGAGCCCGCGUAGGAUUAGGUAGUUGGUGUGGUAAAGGCGCACCAAGCCGACGAUCCUUAGCUGGUCUGAGAGGAUGAUCAGCCACACUGGGACUGAGACACGGCCCAGACUCCUACGGGAGGCAGCAGUGGGGAAUAUUGGACAAUGGGCGAAAGCCUGAUCCAGCAAUGCCGCGUGAGUGAUGAAGGCCUUAGGGUUGUAAAGCUCUUUUACCCGGGAUGAUAAUGACAGUACCGGGAGAAUAAGCUCCGGCUAACUCCGUGCCAGCAGCCGCGGUAAUACGGAGGGAGCUAGCGUUAUUCGGAAUUACUGGGCGUAAAGCGCACGUAGGCGGCUUUGUAAGUAAGAGGUGAAAGCCCAGAGCUCAACUCUGGAAUUGCCUUUUAGACUGCAUCGCUUGAAUCAUGGAGAGGUCAGUGGAAUUCCGAGUGUAGAGGUGAAAUUCGUAGAUAUUCGGAAGAACACCAGUGGCGAAGGCGGCUGACUGGACAUGUAUUGACGCUGAGGUGCGAAAGCGUGGGGAGCAAAC
Molecule: ribosomal RNA, 698 nt
Filed under: uncultured bacterium
Lineage: Bacteria
Description: bacterial SSU rRNA
Rfam family: Bacterial small subunit ribosomal RNA
Source: RNAcentral